This 497-nucleotide ribosomal RNA is filed under the name uncultured bacterium. Its description in RNAcentral is "partial 16S ribosomal RNA". It matches the Rfam family "Bacterial small subunit ribosomal RNA", at positions 28 to 507 of the family's 1533-position model. The record is from RNAcentral.
GAUGAACGCUGGCGGCGUGCCUAAUACAUGCAAGUCGAGCGAACGGACGAGAAGCUUGCUUCUCUGAUGUUAGCGGCGGACGGGUGAGUAACACGUGGAUAACCUACUUAUAAGACUGGGAUAACUUCGGGAAACCGGAGCUAAUACCGGAUAAUAUUUUGAACCGCAUGGUUCAAAAGUGAAAGACGGUCUUGCUGUCACUUAUAGAUGGAUCCGCGCUGCAUUAGCUAGUUGGUAAGGUAACGGCUUACCAAGGCAACGAUGCAUAGCCGACCUGAGAGGGGGAUCGGCCACACGGGAACUGAGACACGGUCCAGACUCCUACGGGAGGCAGCAGUAGGGAAUGUUCCGCAAUGGGCGAAAGCCUGACGGAGCAACGCCGCGUGAGUGAUGAAGGUCUUCGGAUCGUAAAGCUCUGUUAUUAGGGAAGAACAUAUGUGUAAGUAGCUGUGCACAUCUUGACGGUACCUAAACAGAAAGCCACGGCUAACUACGUG